GAAUAUUGCACAAUGGGCGCAAGCCUGAUGCAGCGACGCCGCGUGAGGGAUGACGGCCUUCGGGUUGUAAACCUCUUUCAGUAGGGAAGAAGGCCUUCGGGUUGACGGUACCUGCAGAAGAAGCGCCGGCUAACUACGUGCCAGCAGCCGCGGUAAUACGUAGGGCGCAAGCGUUGUCCGGAAUUAUUGGGCGUAAAGAGCUCGUAGGCGGUUUGUCGCGUCUGCUGUGAAAACGCGAGGCUUAACCUCGCGCCUGCAGUGGGUACGGGCAGACUAGAGUGCGGUAGGGGAGACUGGAAUUCCUGGUGUAGCGGUGGUAUGCGCAGAUAUCAGGAGGAACACCGGUGGCGAAGGCGGGUCUCUGGGCCGUUACUGACGCUGAGGAGCGAAAGCAUGGGGAGCGAACAGG
RNAcentral lists this ribosomal RNA (409 nucleotides) under uncultured bacterium. RNAcentral describes it as "bacterial SSU rRNA". It matches the Rfam family "Bacterial small subunit ribosomal RNA", at positions 359 to 776 of the family's 1533-position model. The record is from RNAcentral.